This 431-nucleotide ribosomal RNA is filed under the name uncultured bacterium. Its description in RNAcentral is "partial 16S ribosomal RNA". It matches the Rfam family "Bacterial small subunit ribosomal RNA", at positions 29 to 507 of the family's 1533-position model. The record is from RNAcentral.
AACGAACGCUGGCGGCAGGCUUAACACAUGCAAGUCGAGCGCCCCGCAAGGGGAGCGGCAGACGGGUGGGUACCGCGUGGGGACGUACCCUUAUCUUCGUGCUAGCUCCGGGAGACUGGAAUUAAUACAGAAUGUGCCCUAUCGGGGAAAGAUUUAUCGGGUAAGGAUCGGCCCGCGUUGGAUUAGCCAGUCGGUGGGGUAAAGGCCUACCAAGGCGACGAUCCAUAGCUGGUCUGAGAGGAUGAGCAGCCACAUUGGGACUGAGACACGGCCCAAACUCCUACGGGAGGCAGCAGUGGGUAAUAUUGGACAAUGGGCGCAAGCCUGAUCCAGCCAUGCCGCGUGAGUGAUGAAGGCCUUAGGGUUGUAAAGCUCUUUCACCGGAGAAGAUAAUGACGUUAUCCGGAGAAGAAGCCCCGGCUAACUUCGUG